Molecule: transfer RNA, 71 nt
Filed under: Marmota monax (woodchuck)
Lineage: Eukaryota; Metazoa; Chordata; Mammalia; Rodentia; Sciuridae
Description: tRNA.Ala
Rfam family: tRNA
About the family: Transfer RNA (tRNA) molecules are approximately 80 nucleotides in length. Their secondary structure includes four short double-helical elements and three loops (D, anti-codon, and T loops).
Source: RNAcentral
GGGGUUGUGGCUCAGUGGUAGAGCGCUCACCUAGCACGUGUGAGGCACUGAGUUCGAUUCUCAGCACCACA